GCGCUCGUAGCUCAGUGGAUAGAGUAUCAGAUUGCGGAUCUGAGGGUCGCAGGUUCGAAUCCUGCCGGGCGCA
This 73-nucleotide transfer RNA is filed under the name Candidatus Curtissbacteria bacterium. Its description in RNAcentral is "tRNA-Arg". It matches the Rfam family "tRNA". From Rfam's summary of the family: Transfer RNA (tRNA) molecules are approximately 80 nucleotides in length. The record is from RNAcentral. Lineage: Bacteria; Candidatus Curtissiibacteriota.